AAUAUUGGAACAUAUAAAAAAAGACAACUCUGUUCCGCAGAGUAACUGUUGACAUUAUAGUUGCGCAGGAACUUUGUUAACUCUAGAGAACCUCGGGCAAAUCGCACGUCCCCAUGGCGGCGACUUUGCAUGUGGAUGUCAUCCAUAUCAACUUUCAAUGCCAGUUUCUGCGCCUACCAUGGUGACCAUGGGUAACGGGGAAUCAGGGUUCCAUUCUGUACAGGGACCCUGAGAAACGGCUACCACAUGCAAGGAAGGCAGCAGGCGAGCAAAUGACCCAUUCCCGACGCAGGAAGGUAGUGA
This is a non-coding RNA of Pelobates cultripes (western spadefoot toad), 303 nucleotides long. Lineage: Eukaryota; Metazoa; Chordata; Amphibia; Anura; Pelobatidae. The record is from the annotation of a GenBank genome assembly.